UAUGGCUAUAUCACAUUGAAACACUGGUUCCCAUACAAUCACCAAAGUUAAGCAACAUCAAGCCUGGUCAGUACUUAGAUGGGUUACCUUUUGAGAACAGCAGAUGCUGUAAG
Molecule: non-coding RNA, 113 nt
Organism: Acanthosepion pharaonis
Lineage: Eukaryota; Metazoa; Mollusca; Cephalopoda; Sepiida; Sepiidae
Source: the annotation of a GenBank genome assembly